Molecule: long non-coding RNA, 1268 nt
Organism: Scatophagus argus
Lineage: Eukaryota; Metazoa; Chordata; Actinopteri; Scatophagidae
Exons: 4
Source: RefSeq, a predicted model, not a curated record
AACACUUGAGUUACUUUUACUUACCGCACAAUUUCAGGUGAGAUAUUUACUUGAAGGAUUUCUGUUUUUAUUUCUUCUUCGCAGAACUUAAACGGCACACACAAACACCCAAAAACAAACCAGCAAAUUUAAGACAACAAAGGUGUUCUGAGGUCUGUCUGUCCCACUUUAGCCUACAGCACUGCAGAUUGGAGAGUGUUGGUGUGAUAACAUAAGGGUUUAAGUGACCUUCUUUGUGCUAAACCAUUUGGGAUGAUACGCUUUAGAUGGCGGCCAAUUUAUUUAGAGUUUGCGACAAAAGGUUUUCAUCACGGAGCCAACUCCAACACAGUAAACUCGGCUGCACAGAAUGUCUGGAUAACGUGACAAAAAAAGUGCGUUUAUUGUAAUUGCUUAGACUUGCGGUAACGGAAACGACCACAAGGUGGCGUUAGGAGACCAGCAUGAACACACUUCCCCCCGACAGGCCGAGAAGACGUGAAAGCUGCUGGAUGGAGGGAAGGGAAAUAUAAGGACUCCGAAUGGGCUGGAAAAACAACGAGUAGCCUCCCGAAUCUGUGGAAAAAUGAAGGACCGAGCUGUAAAAUUUAACACAGCCCACGGACGAGGUGGUUUUACCAGUUGGAGCCCUCAGGGCCUCGGGACAGCUUUCCAUAAGGGCUUCAGUUGAGAUUUUGUGCCCUGUGGCAGACAAAACCGCAUGGUGAAAGUGACGUUCAUAGGGAACCGAUCUAAACGCAGACUUUCACAGCCAGCACGUGGCGCAGUUCACCAGAGAGAUGCGAGUACAGGAGUGUUGAGGCGUGGGAAAGUGACAGAAUCAAAGCACAGAGGGUCAGCCUGCCCUCAGCUAAGCUCUACAACGUCUCCCAACACCUGCCGACUCCCUCCGUCUCAUCAGUGUCUUAUCGACUUAAUGUGAUGUAACAGACCAGAACUGUAAAGAUUAGAGUGUAAACAGUAGUUUUAUUUCUGCUUGUUUAUAGCUUACACAUGACAUCUCUUUUUAACGCUGUGGAGAUUGUUUGAGUUUGCUUACGCAGUAUUUCUGGGCUACUUUGAUGGACCGGAUACAAGUUUCAGUUCACCCAGUUUCACCCAUACAAUAACCAGUUAGUUAUCGGUUUACGAGUACGACUAAUAUGUGAAAGAAUUUGUACCACGGAGAACACACCAAAGGAAAGUGAAUGGACUUUUAUUGUGAAUGGUUUUUUUUAUUUUAAUUCAUUUUUCAUUUGCAUGUAUUUUGUUGUCAUUCGCCAGUUUUA